This is a long non-coding RNA of Gigantopelta aegis, 294 nucleotides long. RefSeq lists it as uncharacterized. The transcript is spliced from 2 exons. Lineage: Eukaryota; Metazoa; Mollusca; Gastropoda; Neomphalida; Peltospiridae. The record is from RefSeq and is a predicted model, not a curated record.
UUCUCCUCACGUCAAAUUGGAUAUAAGUGUACAAAUAGUUUUUGUUUCGUUUUCCUAAAUCGUUCGUUCCACGGAGUCGUCGGACAACGUCGUUUGACAAGAAAUGUGUUUGAUUCGUAAUUCUACGAAGUUGUUCGUUUGAUACGACCAUCAGCAAUGAGUUCACUCAGCGAUAUCGUGAGCACUUGAGGAGGAGAGGCAACGUGCGAGGCCAGCAGCCAUGGAGUCAUAGUCGGAAUCCGGAAAAGAUGAUGAAGAUUGAUAUGUAGUUCGAUAAUAAAUGUUACAACUGUG